RNAcentral lists this ribosomal RNA (414 nucleotides) under uncultured bacterium. RNAcentral's name for it is "bacterial SSU rRNA". It matches the Rfam family "Bacterial small subunit ribosomal RNA", at positions 355 to 783 of the family's 1533-position model. The record is from RNAcentral.
UCAAGAAACUUCCACAAUGGGCGAAAGCCUGAUGGAGCGACGUCGCGUGAUGGACGAAGUGCUUCGGCACGUAAACAUCUUUUAUGUGGGAUGAAAUUAUUGACAGUACCACAUGAAUAAGGGGCUCCUAACUCUGUGCCAGCAGGAGCGGUAAUACAGAGGCCCCAAGCGUUAUCCGGAAUCACUGGGCGUAAAGGGUGUCGAGGCGGUUGUAUUAGUCGUUCGUAAAAUCUACGAGCUUAACUUGUAGGCGGCGAACGAAACGGUACGACUUGAGGUUUGGAGAGGUGCGUGGAACUCACGGUGUAGGGGUGAAAUCCGUUGAUAUCGUGGGGAACACCAAAGGCGAAGGCAGCGCACUGGCCAAAAUCUGACGCUCACACACGAAAGCUAGGGUAGCGAAGAGGAUUAGAU